This is a non-coding RNA of Piptocephalis cylindrospora, 72 nucleotides long. Lineage: Eukaryota; Fungi; Zoopagomycota; Zoopagomycetes; Zoopagales; Piptocephalidaceae. The record is from the annotation of a GenBank genome assembly.
GGGGGAUUGGCGCAACGGUAGCGCGUUCGACUCCAGAUCGAAAGGUUGCGUGUUCAAAUCACGUAUCCCUCA